Molecule: small nucleolar RNA, 107 nt
Organism: Gossypium raimondii (Peruvian cotton)
Lineage: Eukaryota; Viridiplantae; Streptophyta; Magnoliopsida; Malvales; Malvaceae
Rfam family: Plant small nucleolar RNA R71
About the family: R71 is a member of the C/D box family of snoRNAs containing the C (UGAUGA) and D (CUGA) box motifs.
Source: Rfam
AAACCAUGCAUCAGGCAUUUUCUACUCAAUUCCUUGAAUCGCUCCCAAGCUUCAUACAAUGUCUCAAAUUCAGUUUGCCGAAAUGAUGUAAUAUCGUUCCUCAGUUU